AUGGAGGUGGUGGUGCGCACGGUGCCCGGCGGCCGGAGCUGCUUCGUCGCGCUUCCCCUCCCCGUCAUCCAAGCCCUCGAGCGCACCGCCGCCGCCGGCUCCCUCCCCGCGGUCCUCGCCCUCGAGCUGCGCGGCCCCGACGGGGCGCGCUGGCGUCUCGCCUGGGCAGGCGCCGUCUCCGCCUCCGCCUCCCCAGAUGCCGUCGAGGUUUCUCAACAAUUUGCUGCAUGCAUUUCGCUACCUGACAGUACGAAAGCAUCACUGAGUGCUAUUUCUGUGUUGCCAAAAGCCAAAUUUGUAUCUGUGGAGCCAAUAAGUGAGGAGGACUGGGAAGUAUUGGAGCUUAACUCAGAGUUGGCAGAAGAGGCCAUUUUGAAACAGGUUGGUAUUAUUUAUGAUGGUAUGAAAUUUCCCUUAUGGUUGCAUGGCCAUAAUGUUGUGGAAUUUCUUGUUAUUUCAGCAUCACCUAGUAACUCAAUAGUUCAACUUGUUCCUGGAACUGAAGUUGCUGUUGCACCAAAGAAACGAAAAGGCGAUGCAAAUUCUAUUGAGUGUGCCCCUAAACAAGAUUUACUCAAAGCACAGCCCCAUAAAAAGGCACUCCUCCGUGUUCAGGAAGCAGGAGGGAAAUAUGUAGAUCGAUUUGAAUAUAACGGAAUUCAACUGGGUGUGUUUGUUACAUAUGCUGUACAGAUUCACCCAGAUACUGCUGUAAAAUUGUCUCUCAGUAAUCUUCAGUUGGUGAGUAUCACCCCUAAAUUCUCUCCAAAGGAUAGUACAGAAAAUGGAAAAGGAUCUGAUCAGCAGAUCAAGGGUUCAGUGCCUGGUAUGAAGAAGAAUAGGCACAUUGUUGUGCACAUCAUAUUAUCAGAUUCUGUUGCUAAAGAACAUAUUAUGCUUCCUCAAUCCAUCCGCUGUUACAUUGGAACAUGUGUUCAUGCAUGGGUUUAUGUGCAGAGAUUCUCACCCGCUGUAAAUAAGAAUACACCGUCAAUAACAAUUCGUCCACUCCACUUUAAGAUGCUGGAGAGAAAUUCUGAUAAUAACAGUGCAUUAGACUGUCAAGAACAGGAUAUUUUCCCAACGCUGGGUGAGAUAUCUUUAGCUGAUGAUCCUCUCGCGGAUGAUAACAUCAGCAUGUCGCGUGGGUUCAAUGAUAUUACUGCAGCUGCAAAUUGGGAGGAAAGUGUUAAACUGAAACAGGAGAGGUCUUUCAUUAGAUCAUGGCUUAUUGGGCAGCUAAAGGGAAUCUCCUCUCACAUUGCCCAACCUGAACUAAACACAGUGCUUCUGCCGUCUGAAACAUUACUUCACUUUCAAGUGAUUGAUCAAUCAAGAGGCGGUCCUGUUGACCUCAUUUACCUCUUGACGACUACCUCUGAUUUUGGUGUUAAGCACAAGAAAAAUGAACUUGUCACAGCAACUGAGUAUGGUAUUGAUAACUUUGAACAGGCUCUUCAGAAGUUGGAGUUGAAUAAGGCUAUAUCCCUUGAUUCAACAAUGGAACGAGCAAGGAAAUUCUUUGACAGAGGUCUUUCUUCUUUAAGUUGGCUGGAGAACGAAUUUUCUGAUAUAGAAAAAAGGUUAAGUGUCCUUUUGUCUUCAGCAUCUCUAAAAUUAUUGAGUAGAAUAAAGUGUCCCUAUCCAGGAAAUGUUCUUGUAUAUGGCCCUCCAGGUUCUGGGAAAACAACCUUAUGCAAAGCUGUUGCAAGACACUUUGAAGAGCAUAAAGAAAUUCUGGCUCAUGUGGUUUAUGUAGACUGCUCAAAGCUAGCUACUGAGAAGAAUAAGAAGCAGCUUCAGCAAAUUGCAGACUAUAUCUAUGAAGCUAUUGUUCACUCCCCUUCAGUUGUAAUAUUCGAUGAUCUGGACAGUCUAAUUUCAUUCUCCCCGGACAACCUAAAAUCUCAGUCGUCCAAUUCUAGUGCUAUUGUGAAAUAUUUGAUAGACAUGCUAGAUGAGUACAGAGAUAAAAGUCAUGGCAUGUGUGGGUAUGGACCUGUUUCAUUUCUGGCUUCAGCUAAGUCACUUAAGUGUCUUCCUCAAGAGUUGACUUCCUCAGGGAGAUUUGAUCUUCAUGUCCAAGUUCCUGGUUUGUCUGUGUCUGCUCGUAUAGAGAUACUGAGGCAGACAAUUGUCAAGCUUCACUUACUAUGUUCUGCGGAAAUCAUCAGCAACAUUGCUUCGAAAUGUGAUGGUUAUGAUGCAUAUGAUUUGGAAAUCUUGGUUGAUAACGCUGUGCUUGCUGCUUCGGAUCGUUUGCUUGGGUCUUCUACUGUAAAUCUGGUGGAGGAAGACUUCCUGAAAGCCAUGAGGAAUUUUUCUCCUGUUGCGAUGCGUGAUAUUAGUAAAUUUUCGCCUGAAAUUAGCAAUGGAUGGGAAGAUGUCGGAGGACUUUCCGAAGUUGUAAAUAUUAUUAAAGAGACUAUUGAAUUGCCACUAAAAUAUCCGAAGUUUUUUGUUGGGGCUCCUGUAAGGCUGCGAUCGAACAUCCUCCUGUAUGGCCCAACAGGCUGUGGCAAAACCCAUGUUGUGAAAUCUGUAGCUGCUGCGUAUUCUUUACGGUUCAUUCCAAUCAAGGGGCCAGAAUUGAUGAAUAUGUACAUUGGUUCUACUGAGCAAUAUGUUCGUGAUACAUUUGCAAAGGCAGCUGCUGCAGCACCUUGUUUACUUUUCUUUGACGAAUUCGAGUCUCUUGUACCACAGCGAGGAAAACAUGGUACACAAGUUACUGAUCGUGUUGUCAACCAGUUUUUGACCGAAUUAGAUGGUGUAGAAGCUCUGACAGGAGUAUUUGUAUUUGCUGCCACCAACAAGCCGCGCGAAAUUGAUGCUGCACUAUUACGACCUGGAAGAUUUGAUCGGCUUGUAUUUUGCGACUUUCCGCAAAAGAAUGAGCGUCUGGACAUUCUCAGGGUGCUCUCCAAGGAGCUUCCUCUGGCAAGCGACGCCGAUCUGGAACUUGUCGCAUCAAUGACGGAAGGGUUCAGCGGUGCCGAUCUCAAAGCUAUACUCACGGACGCUGGGCUGGAAGCCGCCAAGGAGGCUGUGCGAUGCCAACCCGGAGACGGUAUUGGUGAUAUCCCUCAAGAGCUGCCUCUUAUCGCCAGGGGAACUCUCAUGUCUGUUGCUUCAGAGGCUAGGCCAUCGACCUCGGAGGAGGAUAGGAGGAGCUUGAGGGAGAUGUUCAGCCAAUUCUCAACCUCUAGGAAAUCUUCGAUUUCCACCGAGAAGAGAAGGGAAGCAAAUGGCCAGGGCCAGAGAGUAGCUGUAGCCGAGUCAUGA
This 3285-nucleotide ribosomal RNA is filed under the name Triticum aestivum (bread wheat). Its description in RNAcentral is "partial small subunit ribosomal RNA". The record is from RNAcentral. Lineage: Eukaryota; Viridiplantae; Streptophyta; Magnoliopsida; Poales; Poaceae.